This 752-nucleotide small RNA is filed under the name Pongo abelii (Sumatran orangutan). RNAcentral describes it as "processed transcript". Lineage: Eukaryota; Metazoa; Chordata; Mammalia; Primates; Hominidae. The record is from RNAcentral.
UGAUUACAGUAAUGCUGCUUUUUAAUAUCCCUCAUGAUUUGACACCUUGUCAGGGUUACUUUGGAAUACUGUCAAAGUCUUGGGCAGGGUAAACACCUUUGGAGAUUGAUCUAGCCCUGUACUUAAUUAAAGCUAACACUUUGAUCAGAUCAGUGUCAGAAGAUUACUUCUCCAUUGCCUUCAGAAAUACUCUAGUAACUCUUUCCUUACUGCUUCACAGCCUCCCCUGGUGAAGACACAAACUGUCACCAUCUCAGAUAAUGCCAAUGCUGUGAAAAGUGAAAUCCCAACCAAAGACGUCCCUAUUGUCCACACUGAGACCAAGACCAUCACUUAUGAGGCUGCCCAGACUGACGACAACAAUGGAGACUUGGACCCAGGAGUCUUGCUGACAGCUCAGACUAUCACAUCUGAGACCCCAAGCAGCACCACCACAACUCAAAUUACCAAGGUAACAGACCAGCUAGAACCUCUUUAUGGAACCCAGGGGCAGGCUAAGCUUGCUGCCACCUCUCUGCAAGAAGGACCCUAGUCCAUAAGCAAAUAUUUUCAGCUCCAUCCCUAGUAAGCCACAUUAUUCAAAGAGUCCUGGAUGGAAAGGCCCUGCUGCCUUCCCCAGCAAUAAAUCUAGGGAGAUACCCUGAGAGUAUCCCUGCCUACUUAGUAGUCUCCUAAAGGUAGGUGUGGUUGUUCUCUUUACACAUCUGUCUGUCUGGUCAGUGAGUCCCCUGUUUGGCUGUGGAAGUAAGUUU